GACGAACGCUGGCUGCGUGCUUAACACAUGCAAGUCGAACGGAAAGGCCCUGCUUUUGUGGGGUGCUCGAGUGGCGAACGGGUGAGUAACACGUGAGUAACCUGCCCUUGACUUUGGGAUAACUUCAGGAAACUGGGGCUAAUACCGGAUAGGAGCUCCUGCUGCAUGGUGGGGGUUGGAGAGUUUCGGCGGUUGGGGAUGGACUCGCGGCUUAUCAGCUUGUUGGUGGGGUAGUGGCUUACCAAGGCUUUGACGGGUAGCCGGCCUGAGAGGGUGACCGGCCACAUUGGGACUGAGAUACGGCCCAGACUCCUACGGGAGGCAGCAGUGGGGAAUAUUGCACAAUGGGCGGAAGCCUGAUGCAGCAACGCCGCGUGCGGGAUGACGGCCUUCGGGUUGUAAACCGCUUUCGCCUGUGACGAAGCGUGAGUGACGGUAAUGGGUAAAGAAGCACCGGCUAACUACGUGCCAGCAGCCGCGGUGAUACGUAGGGGGCGAGCGUUGUCCGGAUUUAUUGGGCGUAAAGGGCUCGUAGGUGGUUGAUCGCGUCGGAAGUGUAAUCUUGGGGCUUAACCCUGAGCGUGCUUUCGAUACGGGUUGACUUGAGGAAGGUAGGGGAGAAUGGAAUUCCUGGUGGAGCGGUGGAAUGCGCAGAUAUCAGGAGGAACACCAGUGGCGAAGGCGGUUCUCUGGGCCUUUCCUGACGCUGAGGAGCGAAAGCGUGGGGAGCGAACAGGCUUAGAUACCCUGGUAGUCCACGCUGUAAACGGUGGGUACUAGGUGUGGGGUCCAUUCCACGGGUUCCGUGCCGUAGCUAACGCUUUAAGUACCCCGCCUGGGGAGUACGGCCGCAAGGCUAAAACUCAAAGGAAUUGACGGGGCCCCGCACAAGCGGCGGAGCAUGCGGAUUAAUUCGAUGCAACGCGUAGAACCUUACCUGGGUUUGACAUGGAUCGGGAGUGCUCAGAGAUGGGUGUGCCUCUUUUGGGGUCGGUUCACAGGUGGUGCAUGCCUGUCGUCAGCUCGUGUCGUGAGAUGUUGGGUUAAGUCCCGCAACGAGCGCAACCCUUGUUCACUGUUGCCAGCACGUUAUGGUGGGGACUCAGUGGAGACCGCCGGGGUCAACUCGGAGGAAGGUGGGGAUGACGUCAAGUCAUCAUGCCCCUUAUGUCCAGGGCUUCACGCAUGCUACAAUGGCUGGUACAGAGAGUGGCGAGCCUGUGAGGGUGAGCGAAUCUCGGAAAGCCGGUCUCAGUUCGGAUUGGGGUCUGCAACUCGACCUCAUGAAGUCGGAGUCGCUAGUAAUCGCAGAUCAGCAACGCUGCGGUAAAUACGUUCCCGGGGCU
This 1346-nucleotide ribosomal RNA is filed under the name uncultured bacterium. RNAcentral's name for it is "bacterial SSU rRNA". It matches the Rfam family "Bacterial small subunit ribosomal RNA", at positions 28 to 1381 of the family's 1533-position model. The record is from RNAcentral.